GCUUAACGCGAAGAACCUUACCAGGCCUUGACAUGCAGAGAACUUUCCAGAGAUGGAUUGGUGCCUUCGGGAACUCUGACACAGGUGCUGCAUGGCUGUUGUCAGCUCGUGUCGUGAGAUGUUGGGUUAAGUCCCGUAACGAGCGCAACCCUUGUCCUUAGUUACCAGCACGUCAUGGUGGGCACUCUAAGGAGACUGCCGGUGACAAACCGGAGGAAGGUGGGGAUGACGUCAAGUCAUCAUGGCCCUUACGGCCUGGGCUACACACGUGCUACAAUGGUCGGUACAGAGGGUUGCCAAGCCGCGAGGUGGAGCUAAUCUCACAAAACCGAUCGUAGUCCGGAUCGCAGUCUGCAACUCGACUGCGUGAAGUCGGAAUCGCUAGUAACCGCGAAUCAGAAUGUCGCGGUGAAUACGUUCCCGGGUCUUGUACACACCG
RNAcentral lists this ribosomal RNA (439 nucleotides) under uncultured bacterium. Its description in RNAcentral is "bacterial SSU rRNA". It matches the Rfam family "Bacterial small subunit ribosomal RNA", at positions 954 to 1392 of the family's 1533-position model. The record is from RNAcentral.